UUUUCUCUUGAAACUAAACUUCAAUUGCACUAAUUAUUGCUAUUAUUUGCUUCAAUCAUAACAAUCUGCAGGGCUGCUGAUAAUCAGUUGUUUGUUGCAACUUGUGCACCAGCCCGGGACCCUAAUACCAGUGCUGAUUACAUUACAUGGGGUCAUUCUGGUCUUGUUGGACCGUUCGGUGAAAUAAUUGCAACAGCGGGGCAUGAAGAGACUACCGUCAUUGCGGAGAUCGAUUAUUCUCUGAU
Molecule: non-coding RNA, 245 nt
Organism: Elaeis guineensis (African oil palm)
Lineage: Eukaryota; Viridiplantae; Streptophyta; Magnoliopsida; Arecales; Arecaceae
Source: RefSeq, a predicted model, not a curated record